GACGAACGCUGGCGGCGUGCUUAACACAUGCAAGUCGAACGGUAAGGCCCUUCGGGGUACACGAGUGGCGAACGGGUGAGUAACACGUGGGUGAUCUGCCCUGCACUUCGGGAUAAGCUUGGGAAACUGGGUCUAAUACCGGAUAUGAUCACGCUCUUCAUGGGGUGUGGUGGAAAGCUUUUGCGGUGUGGGAUGGGCCCGCGGGCCUAUCAGCUUGUUGGUGGGGUAAUGGCCUACCAAGGCGACGACGGGUAGCCGGCCUGAGAGGGUGUCCGGCCACACUGGGACUGAGAUACGGCCCAGACUCCUACGGGAGGCAGCAGUGGGGAAGUAUUGCACAAUGGGCGCAAGCCUGAUGCAGCGACGCCGCGUGGGGGA
Molecule: ribosomal RNA, 378 nt
Filed under: uncultured bacterium
Lineage: Bacteria
Description: bacterial SSU rRNA
Rfam family: Bacterial small subunit ribosomal RNA
Source: RNAcentral